GUCUAAUGUUUUUGCUUCUCGCUCUCAGACGGCACGGUCACGGGUGUCCACGUUCUCUUCCGACGUGGCUCACCCCUUGAGAGGGGCGGGCCGCCGCCGAGGCAGAGGGGGUGUGUAGGCAAGGGUUCCGGUGCGCGGGGCACUCCGGGUAAUGAUCCCUCCGCAGGUUCACCUACGGAGA
Molecule: unclassified non-coding RNA, 181 nt
Filed under: uncultured fungus
Lineage: Eukaryota; Fungi
Description: sequence contains ITS1
Source: RNAcentral